UGGCUCUGAGUGGUAUAUGUGGUC
This 24-nucleotide non-coding RNA is filed under the name Mus musculus (house mouse). The record is from RNAcentral. Lineage: Eukaryota; Metazoa; Chordata; Mammalia; Rodentia; Muridae.